Molecule: ribosomal RNA, 293 nt
Filed under: uncultured bacterium
Lineage: Bacteria
Description: partial 16S ribosomal RNA
Rfam family: Bacterial small subunit ribosomal RNA
Source: RNAcentral
GGAUUAGAUACCCUGGUAGUCCACGCCGUAAACGAUGGAUGCUAGCCGUCGGCCCUAAGGGUCGGUGGCGACGCUAACGCAUUAAGCAUCCCGCCUGGGGAGUACGGUCGCAAGAUUAAAACUCAAAGGAAUUGACGGGGACCCGCACAAGCGGUGGAGCAUGUGGUUUAAUUCGAGGCAACGCGAAGAACCUUACCAGGACUUGACAUGCCGGUCGCGGAUCGCAGAGAUGCUUUCCUUCAGCUUGGCUGGACCGUGCACAGGUGCUGCACGGCUGUCGUCAGCUCGUGUUG